AGAUUUAAAUCUGUUUGAAUAGAUCGGUUAAGAGAAAAGUUGCUUCAAUCGAUGUAUAUGUUCUGUUAUGAUGCAUAUUAAUAGUUUAUAGGACUGCUUAGCUGUUUUCCUAUUCAUAUUACCCUUUGUGCUUUGCAUAUAAGCCUUGCAAACGGGUCACGGGUGGACUGGGUCGGGUCAAAACAGGUCGUUUUGAGAAAGUAUUAAUUUGGUUUGGACCAGAACAGUUGUUUUAGGAAAAAGGUAUCAAAAGUUGGGUUCAUCGGCCAUAUUUGUUUUUAAGUGGCGGUCAUGGCAGUGGCAACAGGGAUGAUGGUGGUUGUGUUGGCGGUGGGAACAGGGAUGGUGGUGGUUUUGUAAAACCUCAAUAGAUUGUAGAUCUUAACUCAAUUUCCGGCGACGUAAGUUUCGAUUUUUACAUAGUUUGACCAAUUUGUUCUCUCAAGUGUAUCGUUGAACAACAGUUGGUCUGCACUAUUAAUCGCAUUUUUUAUUUUAUUAUUUUUUUUUUGUUGUUUAGGGUUACAUUGCCUGACGGGACUUUGAAUGAGGGGAGAAGUGGGAAACCCUAAUUUCAUUUCCAAUUUCAAACGCAUUUGCUUCCUUUAUUCCCCAUAUCUCCUGCACUCAAAUCCCUAUGACAAUGAAUACUAGCUUCUGAUGGCGUUUGAUAGUUUGCAGCUGUUAAUCUUAUCUAUUUUUCUGCAAUCACUAAUUUGAUGUGUUUUUCUUUCUUUUUUUUUUGAAUGACCAAUCUUGAUAUCUGGUUAAUCAUUAGAACAUAAAAUCCUACAUAUCUUGAUAUUUGAUUUCGUUUUACAUGUUUUUUUGUGCAAGCUCAUUUUAUAUUUGAUAAGCCUAUAUAAGUUCGGUUGGUUUCACCUUCAAUUUUUGUAAUUUGUAUUUUGUUGUGUGCAAGCUGUUUUCCUACCUUAUGUGUUUGUUUCUGAUAAUUAUAACAUAUACCCAUAUUAUAUGAAUGGUGCUUGAUAUACAUAAAGUUGCACUAAAGGUUACUUAGUGACAUGGCAAUAGUAGCCAGUUCGAUGUUAGCAGUUGUAAAUUUAUAUUUUAAAGAUUAAAUGAACAUUUACAGGAGUCAGGGGGUCAGAUCAUACUUGAUGUUAUUUACACAUUGAAUUUGCUUAUAAGAUGAAUUGAUGAUGAAAGUUUGUUGUGGUGGUUACUUAUACCAGUAUCAGGGAUUUCCAGGUAUGUGAUAUGUUAACGGCUAAUUUUUUUAGAAAUGUUUAUUAUUUAUGCGAUGUACUCAUAUUGUUUGCCCUACCUCCCUAAUUGCCAAUUCAUAAUUUUUUAUACCGAACCAAUUCGCAGUAGCUACCAAGACAUAACUGAUUGAGUAGAAGCUAUUGAUUGAUUCAGUUAAUGCAACAAGGUGCGAUUGUGAAUUUGGUGAUUAGGUAUUGGUAUUCGGCAGUUGGCUAUUGCACUAUUGCACAAGUAAUUUCAUAUUUCAAUGACAGCCUUCCAUGUUAAGUUGUUCGAGAACAGUUUUUUCCAAAUUUGCAUGGCAACUAGAUAGUCCCUGAGCUGGGAGGCGCUUGAGAUGUUUGAUAAAGCAUAUUUUUUUUUUGUCUGAAGCGCUGAUCGACAUAAAGCAUUGUGAGGCGCGCUUGAGGCAUGAGGUGCUAAGGAGCCUGAGGUGGCGCUCCAGUCAAUAUUAGGUCAAAAUCAGAUCGUUACUGCAUUUGGAUUUCCCUACAGUGACAGCUAAAGCCUGUAAGUUGUUUUAUAAUGCCACUUCCACUCCUAACGACCCGGGUAUCAGCUGGCCAGUAAAGAAUCUAUGCACCAAAUGACACAGAUUGUCUAAUAACAGUGGUAUACAUCUAAUAACAGGUGGGCCAGUUAAGGUGUUUCGUGUGCCACCUUAAAUGCUAUUUCAUUUGAAGCUGACCCAUUUCAUAUUUAUUGUGUUUUUUGGCAGAACGAUAUCUAUAUAUGGGUCUUAUCAACAUUUAUUUUGUUGGUUGCUCUGCCAAUGUGCUUUAAUAAUAUAAUUUCCCAACUUAGCGGGCGUAAGAAAACCAACUUUUUUAUUUUCUGAACCCUCCCUGGAUACUGUUAGGGAAAGGUGGAAUAUAAGAUUAGCAAUGUUUAUAUACUCAGAUGUAUACAUGGUUAAGUUAUUAGCUUGACAUCAUGAUGUCCGGUUUCUAAUAUAAUUUGGUUUUAUUAGUUUACAUUUGAUUAAGAUUUGAGUUUGAUUAAAGCUUGCACUAUUAUCCGAUAUAGUUUUUGUAAUUUGGUUAUAUUAGUUUACAUUUGAUUAAAACUUGGGCUUGAUUAACUUUGACCCGUUCCGGCCCAAACUAAGUUAUUUAGUUUAGAUUUUUAUAUCUAUAAUACUUUGUUUCAUCUCAGGCUUUAAUGCAAUAUUGAUUACAAUUAUGUUUAACAGAAACAAGAAGAUGGCUUAUGCAGCACUGAAAGUAUUGAUUCCCUUUCAUUGUUAGGGCAUCUAAUCUUUUGUUUCACGUUUUUAGCAUAAGCCAAGAAAGUAUUUGUUCUAUCAUGCGUGAAGCUCUCGCCUUGCGCCUAGGCAAUUGGCACGAAAACGCUUAGGAGCGCCUCAAGGUUUUUUAAACCACGAAUCCAACGCAAGGGAUGAAAAUGACAAACAUACAUCACAAAAGAAUUCUUCGAGCUUUUGAAAGCAUAGAAAGCAUAGAAUUUACUCCGGAAAUUGUGCACUUGACAAGAUUAUGACGUUCGACUAAAUAGAUAGUUGCAACAAGUGUAUAUCUUGCCAGCUGGAAGCUAGAUCAGUCGUGCCACCAUGGGGAGUUUUCUGUAAUUUUUCAACCCAAAAUGAACUAGCUGGUUCAUAGGUCAUGGGUCAAAAAGGAUAAAGCAUGCCGGUUGAUUGAAAUGCUUUUUUAUGGGAGUAGGAAAUCUGCAACCAUUUAAGCUUGUGCCAUAGAGCAAGGGUUUCAAGCUAAUUAAGGUCGUGCAAUCUUUGCGAGUGGUAGUCCAUUUGCUCCUGUUGGCUAUAAUGGAAAAAUCUACGUGUAUCUGGCUAGGUCACUACUUCUUAAAGUUUAGUAUUAAAUUAGGUCUAUAAUGUUUUGAUAAAACAUCAAGGUAUGCUUCAAGAAAUUGCCAAUUAGUGUCUGUUUUAUUAGUAUCUUUGACUUUAUAUACAGAAAAUAAUUUGUUUUUUUAACAUGGCUCGAACCAGUGGGUUGAGUCGGUCAGUUUUAAGAACCUGGUAAGUUUUUAUCAACGGGCACCGACAUUUUUUUUUAUUUAUUUCAUCAUUUUAAUCUUACACUAAAAAAAGGUGUGCAUUUCUGAGCUACAUAGUUCUAAAGUUUUAUUAUGGGUCAAAUGAGCGAGCCUUUUAGGACAUGCCAAUCGAUUCGUUAUAUUGCAUGCAAGUAGUUCUAAAGUUUUAUUGUGUGCGUCUUUUUGAGCUCGAUAGUUCUAACGUUUUGUUAAAUGUGUCAAACAGGUAACUGGAAAGUCAGUUUAGUUAAAGAGGUAGUCAGGUAGAACUAUCAUUUUCUAUUAAACGGUUGAGUAGGUUAUAUCUGUUAAAUGAACAGUUUUGUUACAAGGGUCAUUUUCUAUUAAACUUGUGAGUUUUUAUAAAAGAAAUGGUUUUUUUAACACGACUUGAAUCAGUGGGUUUCUAAAUCUGCUCAAGGUGAAUACUAGACUAAGCAUGUUCAAUGACCGGGUCAACGGGCAUGUGCAAGCUACAAGUCUUAUAGCAUAAGCAUGGAUUGAAAUUCUGAUACCCAGGUGAGUUACUCCUAUGUGUUAUUUUGACUAAAAAGUCAUAGGUCGUAAUGAUUGGGUCAUCUGGAAGAUGCGGGCUAGGAUCCUAUGGUUAAAUAAGUCAGAAUUAAAAGGGAAGAGUUUGGGCUGUAGGUACAACUGUAUAUAAAUAUGGUACAACGUUUUUAGCAGUCGCAAGAAGCAGACGAGAAUUUACACAUGCCGAUUUUUACACAUGGCGAAAAACGUUUAUAUGGAGUUGCUACCUUUUUGUCUCUAAUACUUUAAAUUCAUUUACAUUUAUUCAAUUAUUUGAUC
This is a long non-coding RNA of Helianthus annuus (common sunflower), 4062 nucleotides long. RefSeq lists it as uncharacterized. NCBI's taxonomy places the organism in Eukaryota, Viridiplantae, Streptophyta, Magnoliopsida, Asterales, Asteraceae. The record is from RefSeq and is a predicted model, not a curated record. The transcript is spliced from 5 exons.